Molecule: long non-coding RNA, 301 nt
Filed under: Mytilus galloprovincialis (Mediterranean mussel)
Lineage: Eukaryota; Metazoa; Mollusca; Bivalvia; Mytilida; Mytilidae
Source: RNAcentral
CAAACAUAACAGCUUAUGUUUUCAAUUAGCUUCGGUUAUCUUUUUAUAGUUAGACAACUUAUUUAUUUUUGUCAUCUACAUGAAAAAAAUAGCCGGAGAUUUAUCAUUUAAAGACUCUUUGUAAAUGUGCAUGAUAAGUAUUUGAUCGCAAACAUGGCAACAUUGGGGGCAAGCAUUUCCUAUUAUAUCAUAGAACGUCUUUAACAAUUUCAACAAUCUUAGCAGGAAUGAUGUUAUGUGAAGUUUCUAUAAAUAUGAUAAUCAUUUGGUUCUGACCAGUUGCAGAACACGAACAUCAGAG